UGGUCACUGGAGUCGGAGAGAGACUGGACAUUGGCCCAGGGUCUGAGGCUGAAGGAGAAAUACUGGGGGUGGUGGUUGGGGUUGUUUCUUGUUUUGCCUGUGAGUGAUUUAAAAAGCUUAUGCCUGUAGAAUUCAGCCUUACCUGCACAUCCAAGAUUGAGGCCGCUGGAAGCAUGUUUCCCACCACUCAGAUAAUGUGAAUAUGUGUACCAACACCAACGGCAGCUGGUGGCCAUAGGCCUGGUUUACCAUGUGUCAGGGAAAUGCCCUGGAUGAGGAUUUCACUGGUUGACUGACCAUUUUGGGUUCCUAUUUCAAUGGCUUUGCAGCUUUUGAAGAUUUGCUGCUGCCCGGCACGAUCUGUAAAUACAAAACUGUAAACCUAAACCUCCCACCGUUUGUUAUUCAUCCUCUCACUUAACAGAUACCCUAUGUAGUUGAUUCAAGUGUGCUUGUUUAG
Molecule: long non-coding RNA, 460 nt
Filed under: Homo sapiens (human)
Lineage: Eukaryota; Metazoa; Chordata; Mammalia; Primates; Hominidae
Description: HSALNT0276490
Source: RNAcentral